GGGCCCGUCGUCUAGCCCGGUAGGACGCCGCCCUCACGAGGCGGAGGUCCGGGGUUCAAAUCCCCGCGGACCCACCA
RNAcentral lists this transfer RNA (77 nucleotides) under Ignisphaera sp. RNAcentral's name for it is "tRNA-Val". It matches the Rfam family "tRNA". Rfam says of the family: Transfer RNA (tRNA) molecules are approximately 80 nucleotides in length. The record is from RNAcentral. Lineage: Archaea; Thermoproteati; Thermoproteota; Thermoprotei; Desulfurococcales; Desulfurococcaceae.